GCAGUCGUGGCCGAGUGGUUAAGGCGAUGAACUAGAAAUCCAUUGGGGUCUCCCCACACAGGUUCGAAUCCUGUCAACUGCG
Molecule: transfer RNA, 82 nt
Filed under: Rhipicephalus microplus (southern cattle tick)
Lineage: Eukaryota; Metazoa; Arthropoda; Arachnida; Ixodida; Ixodidae
Description: tRNA-Ser
Rfam family: tRNA
About the family: Transfer RNA (tRNA) molecules are approximately 80 nucleotides in length.
Source: Rfam by way of RNAcentral